Molecule: non-coding RNA, 10950 nt
Organism: Cordylochernes scorpioides
Lineage: Eukaryota; Metazoa; Arthropoda; Arachnida; Pseudoscorpiones; Chernetidae
Source: the annotation of a GenBank genome assembly
AAUGACCCAGGCAUACCCGGCAUACCCCAAGUACUUGAGUACUUUUUACCCAGUGCAUAAGUAUAAAAUAACAUAGGUUUUGAAAAAAAAAAGUACAACUAUAUAAUAUGACCCACCUUCUCCAGGGUUCUCCCUGAAUGAAUAUUUGCCAAUGAAAAAGGUUUUAACAAAUAUUAUUCAUUAUGAUUGUAUAUUAACAUUCCUCUAUAUGUGUAAAAAUAAUUAGAAAAUGAAACUUAUAUUUGAUGAUAAUAAUAAAAUAAGGAUACACAUCAAUUCGAAUCCUCCAUGUUAAAGCAAAAUUCGCCUCGUACACUUCACAAUGAUGGUUUAAAUUGUAUAUUUCAGGAUAUAUGUUAUAUAAGAGACUUGUUAGUGUUUAUUCAGACUCAAGCACCACAAAGCGAUGUAAGGGAAAAUUCUCUUUAUUACCACAGCUUAUCUACAAAAAAAAAUUAAAAGAUAUCAUAUAUGGGUGUGAAAAAAAUAUAUAUAAAAGGUCAGGAGUUGGCAUUUUAGAUGGCAUUGCUCUUUGGGGAUUGUGGUCUCUUCUGGAUCUGGUGGGUCAGGGUCUUGGUUGGGGAAUAUUGGCCGGGGACCAAUCUGGAUGGUGGUGCUGGCCUCGUGCCUUGGUUAACUCUUAGGUUAGUUCCAGGUCUUUCAUAGGCAUGCUGGCUUUGAUCUGUCAAUUGAUGUUCAAUUUAUGGCGUUGUAUGUUUGCCGCUCAGAUAUUUCCUAGGUCUUUAAAAGUAGAGGAGAAAACUAUUUGUUAUGAUUGUUGAUUAAACUUCAAAGCAAUUUGAUUAAUUAAGCAAUUCAUAUUAAAAAUGGCUUGGUUACAAUUUCGGCUUUUAUAUAUUUAUUGGGAGUAACUUCCAUUGCAAAACAAAUUUUGAGGAUGGUGUACCUAUAUGGAUGAAAUUAUAAUCACUUGUUUGACUGUUUAAAUGUACCACGUUGUAAUUUCGAUUGUCUUAAUUUUAUUGGCAGAUAAUGCAUUCACGUUGCCAGUUUUGUACAUCUUUCUUCAUGUUGGUCUGUAUGAACUUCCAGCCACUUUCUUGAUCCUUGUUUUCUAUUCCAGGGUGUGUCUCAUCAUGAAUUUGUUUGAAUUUUCUUGUACUCCUGUACUACUGGGGUAUAUAGGGGCGAAUGUUGCUUGUUAGUACUUCACACAAGAGGGAUUUUCAGAGAUAUCCCUAACAAAACCAUGGCAUUCACAAAUAAAUUCCUCGUUCUUUAUAUAUCUUAUUUUCAAUUAUAUUAAGGAUUCACAGUAAAAUUAAGAAAUUGAGAUAAUUUUCAAUAAUUAUUCUCCUUUAUCUCAAUAUAUUUUCACUUCAAAACCAAUAGCUAAUUAUUCAGUAAACUAUCUUUGCUUGAAUUUUGUAAUUUUCACUGUACUGUUCUUGAAUGUGUGUCUUUUCUGGGUUCAUCCUAACCCUCCAGGUUUUGCACCAUUUUAAAUUUCAUUUGAUAUAUUUUACAAUUUUUUGAAAAUUUGUAAUGCUCUUUGACUGAAUUUUAACUGCUGUGUCAUCUGAAAAAGUUAAGAAAAGUGGGAUGUCAUCAAUGAAAACGUUGAAGAGAUCUGAAAGUUGAAUAGGCAGUUUCCCAUCUGACUUUAAAUUUCCUCUCUUCAAGUUAGUUCAACACCAGCUGGACCAGGUCUUCGAGGAAGCUAUGAUUAACCAUUUUGUGUACUAUGGCUUUGCGCUAGACCUUGUCGAAGGCUCUGUUAAUGCCAAAGAGUAGUGCACCAGUGGUAUAUUUGUUAUUUAAUAAUUGAAAUGAUUUUUGGGUCCUAAAAUCAAACUAUUCAUUUUAAAUUAACUCUGUUCGGGAAGGUGGUUUUGGACAAUCUUUUGAAAAAAUUUCCAAGGAACAUAAGCAAUGAUAAUAGUCGAUGAUCACUAACCUCUUUUGGUGAACCGGUCUUGAAAAUUGAGAGAACUAUUGCAGUUUUCCAGCAGCUAGGAAAGUACGUGUGUGCGUGGUCAGCAUCGCGCAGAAGAGUCAACCAACAACUUCAGCUUCCAAAUCCUGGCACACUCUGAUGGGUUACUCGUCCAGCUCAAGUCCCUCUGUGAACGUUUCCAGUCCCAAGUAAAAUGUCAGAGUUGUACAGAGUUAGGCAGUGACAUAAGUGUUCAUUUACAAAAAGAACAAAGUGAGUCCGCAAACUCAGGUUUUUACAAUUUUGAUAGGUGGUUAAAUAUAAAAUAUUAGUGAAGCAUGAAAGAAAUAAGGAUUAAAAAUUAUGGGUAAAUAAUAGGAGGGUAUACAAAAAUACAGCCUUCAAGGGGAAAAGGGCAUCUUUUUAUUUUAUUUUUUUUUUGCAAUUAUAAUUUUCGUUUUCUAUUAUUAUUUAUUUUAUUUUUAUUUUUUAUUUUUUUAUUUUUUAUUUUUUUUGUUGUGCCAAAAUAUAGAUAAUUUUUGGGAUAAAUCCUCUUUUUUUUCCCCAAUGAAAGCUUAGGUAAAACAAAUAUACAAGUAAGGGAAGAUUAAAAUAACAAUAAAGAAAGAGCUUUAAUAUAUAUUUACAACAUACAAUGAUAAUUUUAAAAGAAAUAAAAUAAUUUGAAAAUGAUAGACUUUUUUCUUUAAAGAUAAUUAUCUUUGUCAUCUUCCUCUAUAGAACUGUUGGCUAAACGGUUGUGAAGAUGAAGCACAAUAUACUUAAGCACUCUGAAAAAAAAAAUUGGAAACAAAAGGUUAUGCUUGUUGUUGGUGUGCAUGAUAAUUUUAUCGGAGGGAACCUUAGUGUGAAGAAUAGGGAUGCUAAGAGAUGGAGCCAGAGCGUUUGCAUAACGUGUUAAUUUGGUGUCAAAGAAAGGGUGGUAGACACAAGAAACGGUAUAAGUAGCGACAAGAGGAAGUGGCAGGCCCUGGCGAGCGAUGGAUAAGAAGCGUGGCUGGGGAUAUAAGGCUGUCAAGUACAGGGCAACAAGUGGUACAGGUGGUUAAACAUGUGACAAGGAUGAAUGUGUUAAGGAGUAAACAACAUUGAGGUACAAAAGGGUAACAUGUUAUGAAAAAAGACAAGGUAAAUUCUGCCACGCUUGAGCAGGGCAGUCUCGAGGGGUUGGCGAAAUGGAGGACAAGUUUCUUGAUUGGUGACUAUUUCGAAGAGGGGCGAAUAUAAAUAGAUCAAAGAGUGAGGUGGAGAUCCGGCAGGUCCAGGAUGGCAAUGGUUCGAUCAGGAGAGGAGAGGUUUGGUAGGAAUAGAACUGGAAGGGAUUGGUUAAGGAUAAACAUACAAGAACCCAGUUAGUUCCCUUUAAUAGGGUGGUGUAAUAUGGUGGAACCAGGAAGGUGCCAGGGAUCUUCCCAAGUGAGACUGGAGGUUCUUGUACGAAUAUGAUAUCCACCUUGUAAAGACAUGCAGAGUGUGGAAUAGUAGAGAGGAAGUGAGUGGAGCGACGGCAGUUAAUUUGUAAAAAGUUUAAGGAUUUCGCUUUAGUGAAGCUGUCCUCUGCAGCUUUGAUAACAGGACAGGACAUUAAGUCCGCCUUGUGUUUAUUGUUGGGGGAGGUGCAGCGGAAGCAGGAGGGAGUGAGGUUGGUGGUGGGGCAGUCAGAUACGACAUGUGGGAGUCCACAAUGCAGACAUUUAGGAUUGUUGUCGCACCUUUCAGGGCGAUGUCUUAAGCUUACACAUUUCAGGCAGGGGAAUGUUGCCCUAGAUCUGGAGAUGAGAAGGAUGUAAUAUCCGAAACGGAUCUUUUUAAUUUUUAGGAGCUGGGUCGAGGUAUCUUCGUCAGUUUCAAAAAAGACAUGUUGGUUGCCAUUCCUUGCAGGGACAGAUAUGCACCAGUGCAGUGACCGCAUUUGGCCGCCCUGGUACAGUUCUUACCCUUGGGAGCGGGUGAUGGUACCUCUGGAAUUGCAAACCUUAAGAUCAAGGGCAUCAAGAAGGUUGUUUAUGUGAGAACCCUUCCCGUUUUGCUUUUGGAGGCUCCAGCGGGAGGAGACGGCAUUGACAUCUCCAGCGAAUAGAAGGCGAGGAGGAGGUGGUUAGCCGAAGAGAGUGAGGAAGGAGUCUAUGAUGGGAGAAUAAGAAGCGUUGUGAGGAAAGUAAACAGAGCAGAUAGUGAGAUGGAAGCCUGGAAUAUCGAGAAUGGCGAGUGUACGAUUGGUGGUAGAAAGGCGAGGGAGGAAGACCACAGGCAGGCUCUGGUUAAGAACCACGAUGCAGGUGCUGCACCUGUUCUGUGAGAUGGGAGCGUGAAGGAAAGAGGCGGAAGGGAUGGGGAAGGGAGAGGGGAGAAGGCCCUUACGGACCGGCAGCUCUUGAAGUAGGAGGAUAUCUAUGUGAGAGGACUGCGCGGUUUCGAGGAUAGAGAAGAAGCAGGGGAGGGAACGGUUGCAGUUUAGCUGCAGGAACCUAAUCAUGGGAUUCCAUGCGUUGUAAGGAAGGCAGACUCUGCCGCCUUAAUGAUCGGGCAGGCAAGUGAAUCCGCCCAGUGUUGAUUGUUGAUGCUGCACCGGAAGCAUCUAGGGGGAGAGAUUACUGCGCAGUCGUUGAUGGUGUGGCCCUCCCCACAGUGCAAGCACUUGGCCCGUUUGGUGCAGUCUUUGUGUUGGCGUAGGUCACCACAGGAGCGGCAAGGGUGCGUCGUUCUUGUUCGCUCGAACCUGAUAGAGCUAAAACCUAUGAAGAGGCGAGAACGCGACUGGAGGUCUCUGGCUGUAGCGGUGUCAGUCUCUAUGAUGGCGUGUAUGUCGUUGUUGCGCGCAGCCAUUGUACGGACUAGCCUACAGCCGGCGCCCACGGAUUGGUUGAGGUCGUCUAUUGGGAGAGCGUCGGGAAUGUUAAAGAGGGUAUAGCGUGGUUUAAAUGUAGGGGGCAGGUGCACCUUGAUGUUGGUUCCCCUAGUGGCAUUUAUUAGUUUUGUGUAGAUGUUUGUCAUGUUGUUUUUAGUGUUUGUAUGUAUGGUUAGUUUGUUGCGUGUGCGGUGUAUGUUAGUGAUUGGUGUGGUGGGCGUGGUAAGGGAGGAGAUGGAAAUUUUUGUGUAUAGGUUGGUGUCAAUGGGGGUGCUGAUGGAGGGGUCUUGGGUGAUUAUUAUAUGGAAGGGGUUGUUGCGGUUGGAGGGGGGUGUGGGGCGGUGGGAUGGGAUGUGUGUGGUGUGGCGGGGGGAGGGGAUGGGGGGAGAGGGAGUAGCAGAAGGGGGAAGGGAGGCGGCUCUGGCAAAAGAGUCAGGAGUAGGAAGGAGAGGAUUUGGGGAGGAGGGGGUGGGCGGGGGUUGAAGGAUAGGUGGAGAUAGAGGAAGGGGGUUAGGAGGGGAAGGAUGAGGAGUUUUAGGAGGAGGAAUGGGAGGGGUUAGAGUGGUAGUAGAAGGUUCAGUCGGGUGGUGUGAGGGUGGUUGUGUAAGUAUGUGUGUGAGGAUGUUGUUGGUGUGGUUGGCCUCUAUGAGGCGCUGGUUGUAUGUCUGUGUGAGGUGUGUGAAUGUUAUGUCGAGGGUGGUUCUGAAUUGGUUGGCGAUAGAAGGGGUGAGACCAUUGGAGAAAGGAGCUAGAAGGUGGUAGGCCCAGGAAAGAGGGAGGAAGUGGGAGUUGUUGUUGAUGGGGAACAGAUUGCAUAUCAAUGGGGGGGAGUCAAUGGUAUAGUCGGAAUUGCGAGGGUGGUGUGGCCUGUAGGGAGUGUGGGUGGUGGUGACAGGGGGGUGAGGAGGGGUAGGUUCACUCACCCCUGGUUGACCGUUGAGAGGGCCGCCGAUUGUGCGGUCCAGGUGGCUGUCGAAGAUGCUGGGGCGCAGUUCAUCCCUGGAGGAAUCCGCACUUGAAGUGGAGGUGCAGUCUUAAGGAGAGUUGGUGGAGUCCUCCCUGGAAGAAGAGACGUCUGGGGGGUGUAGUAUCCAGGAGGGGUGUGAGAGAAGGGGUUCUAGUAGGGGUAGGUCCUCGGCGGGUGCGGAAUGGUGGACUGGUGCGCUGGGGCGGACAGGUGAGUUGCUGGGCCCGCGGCGGCGCGCGGUGGUGCCGUCGCCUGGGGAGAGGAGCUGGGAGUUCAGCGCGGCGGACGGAAGGACCGCGCUCGGCUGGCUAUGGUUACAGCUAAUUGACCAAAUGGGAUGGCCUUCUAGCUCUACUACUGACUGAAAUGAAUCAGACUGACCGCGGCAAAGGGAGCAGGUAACCCGGGGAGAUACAGCAACAUCGCAAUAUCCCCCGCGACAACACCCAAGGAACCACCAAGCCCGCCACCCAACGCAACGCACGCAGUGGCGGUGCGAAACGCAUCUACAGCCCCAUCCGCGAAGAGACGCGCGGCGCCCUCACGGCGCCCCUGGAGAAUGCGAUGCGUGCUAAUGCUGUAAGAACAUAGGUGAGUAUCCCUGGGUCAGAGGGAAAGAGAUGGGCUGGGCGCUGGGGAACAGGAGCACAGUAGCACAGGAGACCAGAGGCACUAUAUAAAAUUCCUAUUUAGCCUCCUUGAAUAUGCUGACACCACCAAAAAGAGUGGAUGCCCUUACUUCAAGCAGUAUCCCUGUGCCUUACCACGGGUGGGGGGUCACUAGGGACUGGCAAGAAGCGAUCCUAAUUCAAGGGAAGCUUUUGACUCCAAGAGUAUCCAGAAUCCUUACCACUGGUGGGGGGAAUAUCUAGACUCGUUGAAGUUAUCGAGAGCUCUCUCGCGCUCGUCGGCGUGUGACAAUUAAUCCGCUUUCUACAUGCUUUCGGAUAAGCAUUUUAAGGCACGACUCAUGUUUGGGAGUCACCAAGCGCCCGCCGCUGUGGAGGACCAAGGAGAGGGCUGGAGAGGCGCAGGCAGGGCGAGUGGGCACCCCGGGGGUGAAGAGGGCGAGAGCGCGGUUAGUGAGGGAACCAAGGCAGCACCAAGCACAGCACCAGACUCCAAGCAAGUCUGGUAGAUUGCAAAUUUACCUUUGUUUUUUAUUUAUUUAAUUAAAUAAAGAGCAAACAAAAGUACAAAGAGGAGGUAGGUAGCAGAGGGGGUGGAAUUAAAAACAAAGGGGGAGGAGGAGAGGAGGGAAUGGUGUCGGGGGGGAGGGAAAGGGAGAAGCGGAUCUCAAAGUGAUCGGAGAGGUCAGUAGGGCAGGAGGUCCAACCGGAAACGGAGGAGAGGAGAGAGGAAGAGACGCUGGAGAUGUCAAUGGAGGAGGAACUGGAGCCCUGGGAGAGGUGAAAGCUCCCCGGGUGUUACAGACCUUGAGGUCGAGGGCGUCGUGAAGGGUGUUGAUGAAAUUGCCUUUGGAGUUUGGUUUUUGUGAGCUCCAGCGGGAGGAGACAGCGUUGACAUCUCCAGCGAAGACAAGGCGGGGAGGGGGUGGGGAGCCAAAGAGGGAGAUAAAGGAGUCGACGAUGGGGGAGUAAGAAGUGUGGUGGGGGAAGUAUAUGGAGCAGAGAGUAAGGUGAAAGCCGGGGAUGUCAAGGAUUGCAAGGGUGCGGUUGGUCGUGGAGAGUCGUGGGAGGAAAAUGACGGGAAGGCUUUGAUUAAGAAUAAUUAUACAGGAGUUACACCGGUUGUUAGAGAUGGGAGCAUGGAGGAGGGAGGAGGAGGGGGUGGGAAAUGGGGAGGGAAGGGCAUUGUCACGGACCGGAAGUUCUUGAAGGAGAAGGAUAUCUAUAUGGGAGGACUGGGCAAAUUGUAGUAAGGAGAGGUAGCAAGGGAGAAUUCGGUUACAGUUAAGCUGUAAGAACUUUAUCAUUUAAGGCAGGUGGUGGGUAUUAAGGAAUGUGGUUUCUGCGGCCUUGAUGAACGGGCAGGAGAGGGAGUCUGCCCGGUGUUGGCCGUUGCCGUUGCAGCGGAAACAUUUAGGGGGGAGGGUGGUGGCGGUGCAAUUGUUGGUAAUGUGGCCUUCGCCGCAAUGGAGGCAUCUGGGGGGUUUAUUGCAGAUUUCAUUGCUGUGACGGAUGUCACCGCAGUUACGGCAGGGGUGAGUUGAUCUGAUUCUAUCGAACCUGAUUGAAUUCUAUCCCAAAAAGAGACGGGUUCGAGAUUGCAGUUGGGUGGCAGUGUCGGAGUCGGUUUCGAUGACCGCGGGCAUCCAAUGAAAAUGAGCGGCCGUCAAACCACAAAACCCCCGGUUGUGACGUCGCGCGAUUAAUCGACCAAUCAGCGUGCGGCGUCCAAUUUCGACCGCGGCCCUCUAACCCUUGGGUGAUUAGAGACGGCGCUUGGUGAAAUCCCGUCCACAAGCCAGCUGGUAAAUUAAAAGUUUGACAUCGCAUACAUAAUUAGUGAUACACGCAUAUGCAGGUAAAACACUGAUGUAAAGUUUAGGUGGAAUUAGAGUCAGAAACCUUCUCUGAUUCCACCUCUCGGAUCCGCGCUCUCAGCCUGUCGCAAGCCAGGAGAAAAUCGAUACAGGCUCGCCAGGUUAAACAAUUGUGGGUGAAGCCGCGGAGCGCCCUCGGCGUGAAACCGAGUUCCCUCCCCGCUAUAAAUAAUAGACGAGUUCUGAGGGAGUCCAGACUGUCACACUCGAGCAUGAUAUGUUCCAGAGUUUCUUCCUCUCCAGAGUCACAGAAAGGGCAGAUAGGAUCUUCAAUAUGUCCAAGUCUGUGAGCAAAGCUGUCUGUCCAUGUGUGUCCAGUCAGCAGGCCAAUCACGGCGUGGACACUAGAAACGAUGUACGCAUGUUUUUUGUCCAAGAGACUCAUGGGAGAAAGGCCAAAGCGGGUGAAGAUUGUGCGCUCGGCGGAGCUGAACCUGACCUGCCAAGCUGCCCACGCCCGCUUGUAGAUUGUCGAUUUAAGUUUCGACACCCUUGGAGCAGAUGGCCACCCAGACCUUACGGUCCACAAGCCGGCAUGCGAAGCAUGCCCUUAGCUGCUAUCUUGUUCCACUCAUUAGCCAAGUAACGGCAUCCAAGCUGGGGGCUUGAAUAUUGUACUUGGAAAAACCACCUCCCAGAUGACUAGUCUGGAAGGAAUUUAUAUCCCGGUGACCUUCAGUCACAGCAAAACAGUAAACUGUCUACUGUGUCCAGCGGGGACCACGGGAAGGCGGCCACCGGUCGACCCUGUUCACUCACAGCUGAGGUAAAGCUCAGCUGCCACGUCGUGAGCCUUCUCAAGAAGCUUGCUGUGAUUUCUCAGCAGCUCGCUCUCGAUCACGCCCUCCUUCUCUCUUCCUGCACCCCUACCACCCUUGAGCAAUCCAAGACGUAGUGGCGUGCGUCUACAUCCCUCUCUCCACAGACGCAAUCAGGAUUGCUCUUUAUCUUGAAUCUGUGGAGACUCCUGGGGAAGGGCCCAUGUCCCGAAACUACCCUAAUAAGUUUGUGGGACAUUACCUUACAGAGGUACUUGGGUACUGUUACCCAAUUGAAUACCUCCCUCCCAUUUUUACUGUUCCUCCACCUGUCCAACCAUAAGUCCUGGACAUGCCCCCUGAUCCUCCUAUAAACUUCCUUCUUGGUUACAGGGGUCCUCACAGAUCUACCUCUAAAGCACCCUGCUUUAGCGAGCCUGUCUGCGAAUUCAUUACCUUCGAUGAGGCUGUGACCUCUAACCCAAUGGAGCGCCGGAGCCUGCGGCAUCAUUUCCAGCUCCUGGAUGAUUUAAUGCGCGAGUUGCCCCUUUUCCAGAUUGAUGGCGACAAGGGCCGACAUGCAAUCUGAAUAGAGGCGCUCAGGGCUCAAAUUCUUCUCGGCACACACUCUGAGGGCCUCCCUGAUCGCAACCAGCUCGGCUGAAUAGACCAGUUCGUCCUCUCUGAGUGUUAAGCUUUCUUGGAAGAUCAGCUCCCCAUUGGUGAAGAUCACCACCCCAGCUCCAGUAUUGGUUCCAGACUUGCUCCCAUCAGUGAAGACCUCCGUACCAAUCCCUGUUGGCACUCCAGGACUCCAAUUCCACUUUGGCAACCACUGCGGAGGCUUCCUUGGGUCCCUCUUCCAUUCCAGGGCACCCGCUUCAAGGCCCAGGGCGUCUUUCCUAUCCUCCCAUAUUUUCUGUCUGAUGGCCUCCUCCUCUAGUUUCAAACCCAGGGGAAUAAGCCCAGCGAGGACCAACAAGGCCUCCGUGCUGGUGGUGCGGUAUCCCCCUGUGAUUUUGAGUGCAGCUGUCCUCUGCACUCUCUCUAGAGUCGUCGCCACCUUCUGAUCUUUGUUUCGGGGCCACCAGGCCCUAGAGGCAUAUAGUAGGAUUGGCUCGACACAGGAAAGGUAGAGGUUCCUAAAGAUAGUACACUCCUUGCCCCCCCUGUUGAGAGCCAACCGCGACAGCCUGCACAAUGCCUCUCUGCCUUUCGCCACCAUCUCCGCGUGGAAUUGCCAUCCCAACUUUUCAUCAAUGACCAACCCUAAGAUGGUCAUCCUAUCUACCACUGAUACCUUCCGUCCUUCCAUCCUGAUAGCCGGCUUAUGUUCCCAUCUGAUCCCUUUUCUUUUGGUUCUUAUGUCCCUAGACUUAAAGCUGAGGGCUUUAGUUUUAGCGACAUUGAACCUAAGUCCAGAGUAGUGGGCCCAGUUCGAGAGGAUUUGGAGAGAAGUUUCAACACACUUCUCAGCCUUCGCUCUCGAAGCAGCCUCAAUGAUGAGGAACUGGUCGUCGGCAUAGAGAACCAGCCUGGCUCCCUCAGGUAGCUCCUCCUGGAAAACUGUGUUAACCAGGAUGUUCCACAGUACAGGUCCGCAGCAGGAGCCCUGGGGGCAACCCCUGGCACAUUUUCUUACCAACUCCAGUCCACCAAAACUGAGGCUAACCCGUCUAUCCCUCAGGAAGUCACGAACCAAGCUGCACAAAUUAUCUGGACAACCCAUAUCCAUCAAAUUUCUCAUCAGCUUGUUCCAGUUCAUGGAAUUGAAAGCGCCAUCAAUGUCCAGGGCCACGAGAAGAACCCAAGCACCCUUUUUUAGCCCUAUCUCAACCCCCUCUAAUACUUCAUUCAGAGCUGUGGUUGUCGACUUACCUUCCCUAAAACCAUGUUGGGAAGAGGAAAGGAGCACAUUACUCUCUAGCCAGUGCUUCAGACGAUGAGCUAGUA